Molecule: ribosomal RNA, 645 nt
Filed under: uncultured bacterium
Lineage: Bacteria
Description: bacterial SSU rRNA
Rfam family: Bacterial small subunit ribosomal RNA
Source: RNAcentral
CUUGCUUCUCUUGAGAGCGGCGGACGGGUGAGUAAUGCCUAGGAAUCUGCCUGGUAGUGGGGGAUAACGUUCGGAAACGGACGCUAAUACCGCAUACGUCCUACGGGAGAAAGCAGGGGACCUUCGGGCCUUGCGCUAUCAGAUGAGCCUAGGUCGGAUUAGCUAGUUGGUGGGGUAAUGGCUCACCAAGGCGACGAUCCGUAACUGGUCUGAGAGGAUGAUCAGUCACACUGGAACUGAGACACGGUCCAGACUCCUACGGGAGGCAGCAGUGGGGAAUAUUGGACAAUGGGCGAAAGCCUGAUCCAGCCAUGCCGCGUGUGUGAAGAAGGUCUUCGGAUUGUAAAGCACUUUAAGUUGGGAGGAAGGGUUGUAGAUUAAUACUCUGCAAUUUUGACGUUACCGACAGAAUAAGCACCGGCUAACUCUGUGCCAGCAGCCGCGGUAAUACAGAGGGUGCAAGCGUUAAUCGGAAUUACUGGGCGUAAAGCGCGCGUAGGUGGUUUGUUAAGUUGGAUGUGAAAUCCCCGGGCUCAACCUGGGAACUGCAUUCAAAACUGACUGACUAGAGUAUGGUAGAGGGUGGUGGAAUUUCCUGUGUAGCGGUGAAAUGCGUAGAUAUAGGAAAGGAACACCAGUGGCGAA